RNAcentral lists this ribosomal RNA (497 nucleotides) under uncultured bacterium. Its description in RNAcentral is "partial 16S ribosomal RNA". It matches the Rfam family "Bacterial small subunit ribosomal RNA", at positions 28 to 507 of the family's 1533-position model. The record is from RNAcentral.
GACGAACGCUGGCGGCGUGCCUAAUACAUGCAAGUAGAACGCUGAAACUUGGUGCUUGCACCGUGCGGGUGAGUUGCGCACGGGUGAGUAACGCGUAUGUAACCUGCCUGGUAGCGGGGGAUAACUAUUGGAAACGAUAGCUAAUACCGCAUAAGAGUAUAUGUUGCAUGAGAGUUGCGUAAAAGGUGCAAUUGCGCCACUACCUGAUGGACCUGCGUUGUAUUGGCAAGUUGGUGGGGUACCGGCUCACCAAGGCGACGAUGCAUAGCCGACCUGAGAGGGUGAUCGGCCACACUGGGAGUGUGACACGGCACAGACGGCUACGGGAGGCAGCAGUAGGGAAUCUGCGGGAAUGGGCGGAAGUCUGACCGAGCAACGCCGCGUGCGUGAAGAAGGAUGUCGGAUCGUAGAGCUCUGUUGUAAGGGAAGAAAGAGUGUGAGAGUGGAAAGUACACACUGUGACGGUAUCUUAUCAGAAAGGGACGGCUAACUACGUG